RNAcentral lists this ribosomal RNA (465 nucleotides) under Vreelandella stevensii. RNAcentral's name for it is "partial 16S ribosomal RNA". It matches the Rfam family "Bacterial small subunit ribosomal RNA", at positions 338 to 795 of the family's 1533-position model. Lineage: Bacteria; Pseudomonadati; Pseudomonadota; Gammaproteobacteria; Oceanospirillales; Halomonadaceae. The record is from RNAcentral.
CCUACGGGGGGCUGCAGUGGGGAAUAUUGGACAAUGGGGGCAACCCUGAUCCAGCCAUGCCGCGUGUGUGAAGAAGGCCCUCGGGGUGUAAAGCACUUUCAGUGAGGAAGAACGCCUGGUGGUUAAUACCCAGCAGGAAAGACAUCACUCACAGAAGAAGCACCGGCUAACUCCGUGCCAGCAGCCGCGGUAAUACGGAGGGUGCGAGCGUUAAUCGGAAUUACUGGGCGUAAAGCGCGCGUAGGUGGCUUGAUAAGCCGGUUGUGAAAGCCCCGGGCUCAACCUGGGAACGGCAUCCGGAACUGUCAAGCUAGAGUGCAGGAGAGGAAGGUAGAAUUCCCGGUGUAGCGGUGAAAUGCGUAGAGAUCGGGAGGAAUACCAGUGGCGAAGGCGGCCUUCUGGACUGACACUGACACUGAGGUGCGAAAGCGUGGGUAGCAAACAGGAUUAGAUACCCUAGUAGUC